CAAGAGAUUAUUUUAAUAAAAAAAAAUAUUUCCCUUACAAGGAAAAGAUAAUGUUACAUUUCUCUUGAA
RNAcentral lists this transfer RNA (69 nucleotides) under Baltalimania ylvae. Its description in RNAcentral is "tRNA-Val". The record is from RNAcentral. Lineage: Eukaryota; Metazoa; Xenacoelomorpha; Acoela; Isodiametridae.